GACGAACGCUGGCGGCGGGCUUAACACAUGCAAGUCGAACGGGGAACCUCUUCGGAGGGGAUCAGUGGCGAACGGGUGAGUAACACGUGGGCAACCUGCCCCCGGCUCUGGGAUAACUCCAAGAAAUUGGGGCUAAUACCGGAUGUUCACCGCUUCCCGCGGGGGUGGUGGUGGAAAGGGUUUCCGGCUGGGGAUGGGCCCGCGGCCUAUCAGCUUGUUGGUGGGGUAGGGGGCUACCAAGGCGAGGACGGGUAGCCGGCCUGAGAGGGUGGGCGGCCACACUGGACCUGGGCUGCGGCACAGACCAGACCGCGAGGCGGCGGUGGAGAAUAUUGUGCUAGGGGAGGAAGCCUGACGUAGUGUCGCCGCGUCGGGGAUGACGGCCUUCGGGUAGUAAAGCACUUCCAGCUCGGACGAAGCGAAAGUGACGGUACCUGCAGAAGAAGCCCCGGCCAACUCCGUG
Molecule: ribosomal RNA, 463 nt
Filed under: uncultured bacterium
Lineage: Bacteria
Description: partial 16S ribosomal RNA
Rfam family: Bacterial small subunit ribosomal RNA
Source: RNAcentral